AGAUGAAAUUGUUGUUCUUUGUCUCCUGAGCCUUUUGUGUAAACAUUAGUAUGGA
RNAcentral lists this small RNA (55 nucleotides) under Arabidopsis thaliana (thale cress). RNAcentral's name for it is "ATSL232350". The record is from RNAcentral. Lineage: Eukaryota; Viridiplantae; Streptophyta; Magnoliopsida; Brassicales; Brassicaceae.